UUAAAUUGAAGAGUUUGAUCAUGGCUCAGAUUGAACGCUGGCGGCAGGCCUAACACAUGCAAGUCGAACGGUAACAGGAAACAGCUUGCUGUUUCGCUGACGAGUGGCGGACGGGUGAGUAAUGUCUGGGAAACUGCCUGAUGGAGGGGGAUAACUACUGGAAACGGUAGCUAAUACCGCAUAACGUCGCAAGACCAAAGAGGGGGACCUUCGGGCCUCUUGCCAUCGGAUGUGCCCAGAUGGGAUUAGCUAGUAGGUGGGGUAACGGCUCACCUAGGCGACGAUCCCUAGCUGGUCUGAGAGGAUGACCAGCCACACUGGAACUGAGACACGGUCCAGACUCCUACGGGAGGCAGCAGUGGGGAAUAUUG
RNAcentral lists this ribosomal RNA (371 nucleotides) under Escherichia coli. Its description in RNAcentral is "bacterial SSU rRNA". It matches the Rfam family "Bacterial small subunit ribosomal RNA", at positions 1 to 366 of the family's 1533-position model. The record is from RNAcentral. Lineage: Bacteria; Pseudomonadati; Pseudomonadota; Gammaproteobacteria; Enterobacterales; Enterobacteriaceae.